This 128-nucleotide non-coding RNA is filed under the name Ananas comosus (pineapple). The record is from RNAcentral. Lineage: Eukaryota; Viridiplantae; Streptophyta; Magnoliopsida; Poales; Bromeliaceae.
GUGUUCGUAGAAAGGAGAGACGGUUGGCAUCUCCCCUGACAGGGACGGGAACCGAGCCGUCGUGCUCUACCCUGUUCACACACAUGGUUAAGGCUACCCGCUUCGGCGGAUCUUUACCCAAUUUUUUU